UAGCAUAAUCAUUAGUCUUCUAAUUAAAGACUAGAAUGAAAGAUUAAACAAUUUUAUAACUUUUUUUAUUAUACAAAUUUAAAUUAUACUAUAAAUUAAAAUAUUUAUAUUAAAUUAAAAGACGAAAAGACCCUAUUAAAUUUUACUGAAGUUAAGCUGGGGCAGCUAUUUAAUUAUUACUUUAAAUAUAUAUAUAUAUAAUACCAUCCCCCUAUUAAAUAGAUAUAUCAAAUUACUAUAGGGAUAACAGCGUAAUUUUUUUCUCUAGAUCUUAUAAAAAAAAAAGAUUGCGACCUCGAUGUUGAAUAAUUAAUCUUAUUCGCGCAAAAGCAAAUAAAGAAA
This 342-nucleotide ribosomal RNA is filed under the name Matilda sp. CG272. RNAcentral's name for it is "partial 16S ribosomal RNA". The record is from RNAcentral. Lineage: Eukaryota; Metazoa; Arthropoda; Arachnida; Araneae; Cyatholipidae.